Non-coding RNA from Lentinula aff. lateritia, 83 nucleotides. The record is from the annotation of a GenBank genome assembly. NCBI's taxonomy places the organism in Eukaryota, Fungi, Basidiomycota, Agaricomycetes, Agaricales, Omphalotaceae.
GCCUCAAUAGCUCAGUGGUAGAGCGCUUGAUAUGUUGUCAUAUACACUAUCAAAAUGCCAGGGUUCAAAUCCCUGUUGAGGCU